Molecule: non-coding RNA, 198 nt
Filed under: Leptothrix ochracea L12
Lineage: Bacteria; Pseudomonadati; Pseudomonadota; Betaproteobacteria; Burkholderiales; Sphaerotilaceae
Description: Bacterial large subunit ribosomal RNA
Rfam family: Bacterial large subunit ribosomal RNA
Source: Rfam by way of RNAcentral
ACUGAUUAUAUAUCAGCACAGCACUCUGCAAAGACGAAAGUCGACGUAUAGGGUGUGACGCCUGCCCGGUGCUGGAAGAUUAAAUGAUGGGGUGCAAGCUCUUGACUGAAGUCCCAGUAAACGGCGGCCGUAACUAUAACGGUCCUAAGGUAGCGAAAUUCCUUGUCGGGUAAGUUCCGACCUGCACGAAUGGCGUAA